Molecule: non-coding RNA, 31 nt
Filed under: Mus musculus (house mouse)
Lineage: Eukaryota; Metazoa; Chordata; Mammalia; Rodentia; Muridae
Source: RNAcentral
UGNGUUAGUUGCUUAGUGUGAUAGGUUUCCU